This 635-nucleotide ribosomal RNA is filed under the name uncultured fungus. Its description in RNAcentral is "eukaryotic LSU rRNA". The stretch from base 197 to 350 matches the Rfam family "5.8S ribosomal RNA". Lineage: Eukaryota; Fungi. The record is from RNAcentral.
UCCGUAGGUGAACCUGCGGAAGGAUCAUUAAUGAAUGCAGAUGCCUGUCGAGCUUGCUCACGGGCUUUCUAUCAUAUCCAUAACACCUGUGCACUUGUUGGAUGAUCUAAAGACGUAGGGUAAAACCUAAAGUCAAUAGUCAUCCACUUACACUAAACAAUAAUGUAACAAAUGUAGUCUUAUUAUAACAAAAUAAAACUUUCAACAACGGAUCUCUUGGCUCUCGCAUCGAUGAAGAACGCAGCGAAAUGCGAUAAGUAAUGUGAAUUGCAGAAUUCAGUGAAUCAUCGAAUCUUUGAACGCACCUUGCGCUCCUUGGUAUUCCGAGGAGCAUGCCUGUUUGAGUGUCAUGAAAACCCUCAACCUUAGAUUGGUUAUUUGACCUUUCUUUGGCUUGGAUUUGGACGUUUGCCGAUGUCAAGUCGGCUCGUCUUAAAAGUAAUAGCUGGAUCUGUCUCGCGACAUGGUUUGACUUGGCGUAAUAAGUAUUUCGCUAAGGACAUCUUCGGAUGGCCCUGUUGCAGGACUAAAGACCGCUUUCUAAUCCAUUGAUCUUCGGAUUAAUAUUCAUAACAUCUGGCCUCAAAUCAGGUAGGACUACCCGCUGAACUUAAGCAUAUCAAUAAGCGGAGGAA